RNAcentral lists this long non-coding RNA (217 nucleotides) under Mytilus galloprovincialis (Mediterranean mussel). Lineage: Eukaryota; Metazoa; Mollusca; Bivalvia; Mytilida; Mytilidae. The record is from RNAcentral.
GUUAACGCUAAGAUCGAUUGCUAUCAAUCUCUUUUCGGAUGAAUGUUAUAUUUAGAUACAAAAAUAAAGGUCAGACCUGUUCUUUUUAUGUUGUAGUGUAAAGGCAAUGGAUUAAAUAAGAUCGUUCGCGAUCGAUCUUGCAUGAGCAAUGUAAACGCAAACUGGUCUUUUUAAGAUCGUUUCAAAUAAUGAUCGAUUCAAUUAUUUGGUGGUGUAA